AAUAAAGUGCGUUGCCAAUUGCCAUAGCUCAUGACAAAGAACCAGCAAAUUAGGAGGCUGCCAGAGUGCUCGUAUUAGACAAAGUUGUCUGUAAACGGCUUAUUAACCUGGAAAAGCAGGACUACUUUGGCAAUGGUAAUCCAAGAUAAACCUAGAGGAAAAUCAAAUGUCUCUGGGACGAGCCAAAGAAAAGAGUCUGUGCAUUCUCAGCAUAGGUUCUGAUGGGAAAGUGUUAGGGGCUGAAAUCAGCAGCCGUGUGGUGUGGCAGCUGCAGUGCGUUCACUGGCCAGAGUGCAGAGCAGACUGCUGGAAACAGUUUUGUCCACAGGUAGUGGUGUACAUCUGUGAUCCCAGCCCUCAAGAAGUUGAGAGAUGUCAAGAUUGAGGUUGACAGAAGCCUUCGUCAGUUCCAAGUCAUCUGGGUUACAUGCAAGGUGGCAUCCUUCGGCUGAGUAAAUGAAGCCUGUGGACCACUGAAAUGAGUUACAACAUCAAAACAAAAGAUGGUGUUGAACUGUGCAGAGAAGGAAAAGACAGUGAAUCUGAAGGCUGUCUAAGAGGUUGAGGAAAUCACUUGGGGAAGAUCAGCUUGCGUCGACUUCAGGUUUGCUAAUUAUUCUUACGGGAAAGCAGCUGUGCUACACCACCUGAGGGGUCAACAGCUGUAUGUUCUUCAGCCCACCUUUAUGAGAAUCAAAUUGUUUAAAACAAAACAUGAGCUGGUGAGUUUGUUUUUCUAGAAAGCAAAUGUGAGACCCAGUGUUACAGAGCUUUCUAUCCAUCCUCAUAGGCCGUAAUUUCUUUCACAUGCACAUUUUAUAGCCAAAGACUCUAUAAUCCAGAGCCAUUGAUGUUUAUGAUCUCCCAAAUCCCUUCAAAAAUGAAAUUAUGCCCUGCAUGAUCUUCCCCAAAGAACAGCAAAGCAAAUAAUUGUGUUAUAAUGAUGUUUUCCACCGAAGAUGUUAAAAUGUUAACUUUAUCUGAUUUCAACCCCAGCUUCUGAAAAUAUAUGCAGUUAAGAUGUAUAUGUUAAUUCCUAUCCACUAAGAGCACUCACCUGUUUAUUAUUAAUGCUGAGGCUAUUAAACAAUACUUUACAAUGAAUCAAGGUUUUAAUGUAUUUAAUAUAUGUGCCUAUUUGUUGUGCAUCGUAAGCUUAGAGGUUCUGAAUUUCUUUGGAAGUCUAGAAAUGAUAUACAUUGUCAAAGUAAGACAUUGUCAUCCUGUUUAAUGUAAACUACAAAUAUGCAACCUCAUUUUACUCUUCAUGCUCUGGCUCCAGAAACCUCAAAUUCUAACGUGUUGAAGACUCUCUGGUUACUGUGCUUUCUGUUGCUGUAAUCAGCACCAUGACCCAAAGGAACUUGCGGGGAAGAAAGCACUUCGUCUCGUAUAUCUCUGUCACAGCCCACACUGAGGGAAGGCAGGCCAAGAACUCAAGCUGCACCAUGGAAGCAGAGACUGAAGGAUAACAAUGGAAUAGUGCUGGCUACUAGCUUGUUUUCUUGCUUCUGUUCAGCUACAUUUCUUAUAUAUCCUGGCCACCUCUGCCUGGUGAUGGUAUGACCCACAAUGGAAAUAGACCCUCCUACACCAACAGCAAUGAAGAAAAUGCCCCAGAGAAAUGCCCUUGGCCCAAGAAGAUGGAAGAGAUUCCUUAGCUGACCCCUUUUGUCAGGUGUGUCAAGUUGACAAGAAUGACCGUUGCAGCCAUUCCAUCAAACUGUAUAGUUAACACUCUUUGCUCUUUUCUUCAUUCUAAUUUUCUGUUUGUCUCAAGUACCUCAAAUGGUUACUGGAUAUAUCAUUUUCCCUAUCUGUCUAAAUGUUCAAAAGAGGAUCCUACGAGAAGAUAAAUAGAUGAAUAAAAUAUU
Molecule: long non-coding RNA, 1874 nt
Organism: Psammomys obesus (fat sand rat)
Lineage: Eukaryota; Metazoa; Chordata; Mammalia; Rodentia; Muridae
Exons: 3
Source: RefSeq, a predicted model, not a curated record